This is a long non-coding RNA of Oncorhynchus mykiss (rainbow trout), 1914 nucleotides long. The record is from Ensembl. Lineage: Eukaryota; Metazoa; Chordata; Actinopteri; Salmoniformes; Salmonidae.
GCAGAAACCAGAUUGCUCACCGUAGAGAAUACUAUAGACAUCAAGAAAGGCAGUCAGUUGAUUAUUGACAAGUUUUCCAACACUUGUGAUGAACAGGGUAAAAUAGAAAUUGGCCUUCAUCUUUUCCAUCUCUCUCUUUCCAUCUCUCUCUCUGUCUUCAUCUCUCUGUCUUUCCAUCUUUCUCUCCAUCUCUCUCUCUUUCCAUCUCUCUCUCCAUCUCUCCCUCUCUUUCCAUCUCCAUCUCUCUCUCCAUCUCUCUCUCCAUCUCUCUCUCCAUCUCUCUCUCUGUCUUCAUCUCUCUGUCUUUCCAUCUCUCUCUCCAUCUCUCUCUCUGUCUUCAUCUCUCUGUCUUUCCAUCUCUCUCCAUCUCUCUCUCCAUCUUUCUCUCCAUCUCUCUCUCUCGCCAUCUCUCUCUCUGUCUUCAUCUCUCUGUCUUUCUAUCUCUCUCUCCAUCUCUCUCUGUCUUUCCAUCUCUCUCUCCAUCUAUCUCUGUCUUUCCAUCUCUCUCUCCAUCUCUCUCUGUCUUUCCAUCUCUCUCCAUCUCUCUCUCUCUCUCCAUCUCUCUCUGUCUUUCCAUCUCUCUCUCCAUCUCUCUCUCUUUCCAUCUCUCUCUCCAUCUCUCCCUCUCUCUCCAUCUCUCUCUGUCUUUCCAUCUCUCUCCAUCUCUCUCUCUCUCUCCAUCUCUCUCUGUCUUUCCAUCUCUCUCUCCAUCUCUCUCUCCAUCUCUCUCUCCAUCUCUCUCUCUGUCUUCAUCUCUCUGUCUUUCCAUCUCUCUCCAUCUCUCUCUCCAUCUUUCUCUCCAUCUCUCUCUCUCUCCAUCUCUCUCUCUCUGUCUUCAUCUCUCUGUCUUUCUAUCUCUCUCUCCAUCUCUCUCUGUCUUUCCAUCUCUCUCUCCAUCUAUCUCUGUCUUUCCAUCUCUCUCUCCAUCUCUCUCUGUCUUUCCAUCUCUCUCCAUCUCUCUCUCUCUCUCCAUCUCUCUCUGUCUUUCCAUCUCUCUCUCCAUCUCUCUCUCUCUCUCCAUCUCUCUCUCUUUCCAUCUCUCUCUCCAUCUCUCUCGUUGUCUUUCCAUCGCUCUCUCCAUCGCUCUCGUUGUCUUUCCAUUUCUCUCUCCAUCUCUCUCUCUGUCUUUUCCAUCCCUGUCUAUGUCUUUUCACGUGCGCCGAAUACAACAAUGAAAUGCGUACUUACAAGCCCUUAACCAACAGGCCUUACAGUGAAAUGUUUACUCACAAGGCUAUAUACAGGAGGUACCGGUACAGAGUCAAUGUGGAGACUAUAUACAGGAGGUACCGGUACAGAGUCAAUGUGGAGGCUAUAUACAGGGGGAACCGGUACAGAGUCAAUGUGGAGACUAUAUACAGGGGGAACCAGUACAGAGUCAAUGUGGAGGCUAUAUACAGGGGGUACCAGUACAGAGUCAAUGUGGAGGCUAUAUACAGGGGGUACCGGUACAGAGUCAAUGUGGAGGCUAUAUACAGGGGGUACCGGUACAGAGUCAAUGUGGAGGCUAUAUACAGGGGGUACCGGUACAGAGUCAAUGUGGAGUCUAUAUAUACAGGGGGUACCGGUACAGAGUCAAUGUGGAGUCUAUAUACAGGGGGUACCGGUACAGAGUCAAUGUGGAGGCUAUAUGCAGGGGGUACCGGUACAGAGUCAAUGUGGAGACUAUAUACAGGGUGUUACGGUACAGAGUCAAUGUGGAGGCUAUAUACAGGGGGUACCGGUACAGAGUCAAUGUGGAGGCUAUAUACAGGGGUACCGGUACAGAGUCAAUGUGGAGGCUAUAUACAGGGGGUACCGGUACAGAGUCAAUGUGGAGGCUAUAUACAGGGGGUACCGGUACAGAGUCAAUGUGGAGGCUAUAUACAGGGGGUACCGGUACAGAGUCAAUGUGCGGGAUUACCGGUUAGUUGA